Molecule: ribosomal RNA, 492 nt
Filed under: uncultured bacterium
Lineage: Bacteria
Description: partial 16S ribosomal RNA
Rfam family: Bacterial small subunit ribosomal RNA
Source: RNAcentral
AGUGAACGCUGGCGGUAGGCCUAACACAUGCAAGUCGAACGGCAGCACAGUAAGAGCUUGCUCUUACGGGUGGCGAGUGGCGGACGGGUGAGGAAUACAUCGGAAUCUACUUUUUCGUGGGGGAUAACGGAGGGAAACAUACGCUAAUACCGCAUACGACCUACGGGUGAAAGCAGGGGAUCUUCGGACCUUGCGCGAUUGAAUGAGCCGAUGUCGGAUUAGCUAGUUGGCGGGGUAAAGGCCCACCAAGGCGACGAUCCGUAGCUGGUCUGAGAGGAUGAUCAGCCAUACUGGAACUGAGACACGGUCCAGACUCCUACGGGAGGCAGCAGUGGGGAAUAUUGGACAAUGGGCGCAAGCCUGAUCCAGCCAUACCGCGUGGGUGAAGAAGGCCUUCGGGUUGUAAAGCCCUUUUGUUGGGAAAGAAAAGCAGUAGGUUAAUACCUCGCUGUUUUGACGGUACCCAAAGAAUAAGCACCGGCUAACUUCGUG